CGGGGGGGGCUAGCGUUGUUCGGAAUUACUGGGCGUAAAGGGCUCGUAGGUGGCCAACUAAGUCAUGCGUGAAAUCCCUCGGCUUAACCGGGGAACUGCGUCUGAUACUGGAUGGCUUGAAUCUGGGAGAGGGAUGCGGAAUUCCAGGUGUAGCGGUGAAAUGCGUAGAUAUCUGGAGGAACACCGGUGGCGAAGGCGGCAUCCUGGACCGGUAUAGACACUGAGGAGCGAAAGCCAGGGGAGCAAACGGGAUUAGAUACCCCGGUAGUCCUGGCCCUAAACGAUGAAUGCUUGGUGUGACGGGUAUCGAUCCCUGUCGUGCCGAAGCUAACGCAUUAAGCAUUCCGCCUGGGGAGUACGGUCGCAAGGCUG
Molecule: ribosomal RNA, 372 nt
Filed under: uncultured organism
Description: bacterial SSU rRNA
Rfam family: Bacterial small subunit ribosomal RNA
Source: RNAcentral